Molecule: ribosomal RNA, 354 nt
Filed under: bacterium LimC-10-J-85
Lineage: Bacteria
Description: bacterial SSU rRNA
Rfam family: Bacterial small subunit ribosomal RNA
Source: RNAcentral
GGUCUGAGAGGAUGAUCAGUCACAACUUGGAACUGAGACACGGUCCAAGACUCCUACGGGAGGCAGCAGUGGGGAAUAUUGGACAAUGGGCGAAAGCCUGAUCCAGCCAUGCCGCGUGUGUGAAGAAGGUCUUCGGAUUGUAAAGCACUUUAAGUUGGGAGGAAGGUCAGUAAGUUAAUACCUUGCUGUUUUGACGUUACCAACAGAAUAAGCACCGGCUAACUUCGUGCCAGCAGCCGCGGUAAUACGAAGGGUGCAAGCGUUAAUCGGAAUUACUGGGCGUAAAGCGCGCGUAGGUGGUUCAGCAAGUUGGAUGUGAAAUCCCCGGGCUCAACCUGGGAACUGCAUCCAAAA